Non-coding RNA from Postia placenta Mad-698-R, 82 nucleotides. Lineage: Eukaryota; Fungi; Basidiomycota; Agaricomycetes; Polyporales; Adustoporiaceae. The record is from Rfam.
UCGGAUAUGGUGUAGUGGCUAACAUUAUCGCCUCUCACCUGUUUGAUCGCGAUAGCCCGGGGUUCAAUUCCCCGUAUCCGAA